This 458-nucleotide ribosomal RNA is filed under the name uncultured bacterium. Its description in RNAcentral is "bacterial SSU rRNA". It matches the Rfam family "Bacterial small subunit ribosomal RNA", at positions 28 to 499 of the family's 1533-position model. The record is from RNAcentral.
GACGAACGCUGGCGGCGCGCCUAACACAUGCAAGUCGAACGGAGCUUAGAGAGCUUGCUUUUUAAGCUUAGUGGCGAACGGGUGAGUAACGCGUGAGUAACCUGCCCUAGAGUGGGGGACAACAGUUGGAAACGACUGCUAAUACCGCAUAAGCCCACGGUACCGCAUGGUACUGAGGGAAAAGGAUUUAUUCGCUUUAGGAUGGACUCGCGUCCAAUUAGCUAGUUGGUGAGGUAACGGCCCACCAAGGCGACGAUUGGUAGCCGGACUGAGAGGUUGAACGGCCACAUUGGGACUGAGACACGGCCCAGACUCCUACGGGAGGCAGCAGUGGGGGAUAUUGCACAAUGGGGGAAACCCUGAUGCAGCGACGCCGCGUGGAGGAAGAAGGUUUUCGGAUUGUAAACUCCUGUCGUUAGGGACGAUAAUGACGGUACCUAACAAGAAAGCACCGGCUA